AGCAGCCGCGGUAAUUCCAGCUCCAAUAGCGUAUAUUAAAGUUGUUGCAGUUAAAAAGCUCGUAGUUGAAUUUCGGGAUCAGUACGUCGGUCGUGCCUCUGGUAUGUACUGGUGUUACUGGUUCCUCCCUUCUGAAGAACUGUCAUGUCAUUUAUUUGGUGUGGCGGGGAAUCAGGACUGUUACUUUGAAAAAUUAGAGUGUUUAAAGCAGGCUCGCGCUUGAAUACAUUAGCAUGGAAUAAUGAAAUAGGACGUUUGAUCCUAUUUUGUUGGUUUCUAGGAUUGACGUAAUGAUUAAUAGGGAUAGUUGGGGGCAUUAGUAUUCAAUUGUCAGAGGUGAAAUUCUUGGAUUUAUUGAAGACUAACUACUGCGAAAGCAUUUGCCAAGGAUGUUUUCAUUAAUCAAGAACGAAAGUUAGGGGAUCGAAGACGAUCAGAUACCGUCGUAGUCUUAACCAUAAACUAUGCCGACUAGGGAUCGGAUGAUGUUAAUUUUUAAUGA
This 502-nucleotide ribosomal RNA is filed under the name uncultured Glomus. RNAcentral's name for it is "SSU rRNA". It matches the Rfam family "Eukaryotic small subunit ribosomal RNA", at positions 569 to 1074 of the family's 1831-position model. The record is from RNAcentral. Lineage: Eukaryota; Fungi; Glomeromycota; Glomeromycetes; Glomerales; Glomeraceae.